Long non-coding RNA from Diceros bicornis minor, 896 nucleotides. RefSeq lists it as uncharacterized. The transcript is spliced from 3 exons. NCBI's taxonomy places the organism in Eukaryota, Metazoa, Chordata, Mammalia, Perissodactyla, Rhinocerotidae. The record is from RefSeq and is a predicted model, not a curated record.
UAGAAAGCCCUGUAGGACAAAGUAUUAGUGUUCGUUUAAUCUCCUCCAUUUCCUCUGCCUGAAAUAUCCAUUGUUCUCUCUCUCUGUACAUCCUGUUAUAGCAUGACCUAGCACAGAGUGGUAGAAGGAACCUUGGAUUAAAUCCCAGUAUAGUGGGAAGAGAGAAGGUUCUGGAGACAAACAGUCUAGGUUUGAGACCCAGCUCUACCACUUCCUGGCUGUGUCAACUUGGGCAUGUGGGAAGAUGACAUUCCUCAGUUCUUUGCGUAGGUGGGGCCAGUGACUGGGUCUGGCCAAUGGGCUGUGAGCAGAAGGAUAUGGGUCACUUCUGGAGUGAAGGACUUAAUUGCCAAGAUGAGAACCCCCUAGAGCUCUGUUCCGCACGUUAACUCAGGAGGCCCGGUGUUACAGAUGGUACACUGUGGUGGGGCCUCCGUCAGCUGGGUCUCUGCGCGUCUCCUGAGGACAGUUGCCCUGGAGAGUCACCUGCACCGGCAUGGACUUCAUCAUUGUUCACGACAGCCAAGACUUGGAAGCAACCUAUGUGCCCAUCAAGGGGCGAAUGGAUGAAGAAGAUGUGGUAUAUAUACACAAUGGAAUACUACUCAGCCAUAAGAAAUGAUGAAAUCCAGCCAUUUGUGACAACAUGGAUGGACGUUGAGGGUAUUAUGCUAAGUGAAAUAAGUCAGAGGGAGAAGGUCAAAUACUGUAUGACCUCACUCAUAAGUAGAAGAUAAAAAGAACAACAAACAAACACAUAGAGACAGAGAUUGGAUUGAUGGUUACCAGAGGGGAGGAGGAGAGGGAGGAGGGCGAAAGGGAUGAUUAGGCACAUGUGUGGGGUGAUGGAUUGUAAUUAGUCUUUGGGUGGUGAACAUGAUGUAAUCAAUGCAGAA